RNAcentral lists this ribosomal RNA (252 nucleotides) under uncultured bacterium. RNAcentral's name for it is "partial 16S ribosomal RNA". It matches the Rfam family "Bacterial small subunit ribosomal RNA", at positions 524 to 776 of the family's 1533-position model. The record is from RNAcentral.
UACGUAGGGGGCGAGCGUUGUCCGGAAUUACUGGGCGUAAAGGGUACGUAGGCGGUUUCAUAAGUCAGGUGUAAAAGGCAAUGGCUCAACCAUUGUAAGCACUUGAAACUGUGAAACUUGAGUACAGGAGAGGUAAGUGGAAUUCCUAGUGUAGCGGUGAAAUGCGUAGAUAUUAGGAGGAACACCAGUGGCGAAGGCGACUUACUGGACUGUAACUGACGCUGAGGUACGAAAGCGUGGGGAGCGAACAGG